GUUGAAGCUGAUUCCUAAUAGCUUCUGGAAUGUAAAAGAAAUGCUGACCUUUAGUCUAGAUGUCAAUGGAAGCAAAGUCAAGAGCCACAGAGUUUGGACUCAUUUCUUCAUUCACCAAAUGUCUGUUGGGUAGCUGCUGUAGAUUCAGUAUGUGCGGCUGCUGCUACCGCUGCUAAGUCGCUUCAGUCGUGUCUGACCCUGUGUGACCCCAUGGACGGCAGCCCACCAGACUUAAGGUACAAAUCUGAAUC
RNAcentral lists this long non-coding RNA (251 nucleotides) under Capra hircus (goat). RNAcentral's name for it is "lncRNA (ENSCHIG00000007265.1)". The record is from RNAcentral. Lineage: Eukaryota; Metazoa; Chordata; Mammalia; Artiodactyla; Bovidae.